This 237-nucleotide long non-coding RNA is filed under the name Mytilus galloprovincialis (Mediterranean mussel). Lineage: Eukaryota; Metazoa; Mollusca; Bivalvia; Mytilida; Mytilidae. The record is from RNAcentral.
UGUUUAUUUGUUUUUGUCAAAGUCUGCAUACUUUUAUGUAGAAAAUUUGUAUUUCUUUAAACUUUUAAAUUCGUUGUUUCCACAAAAUCCAACAAAUAUUAAUGAAUCCACAGUAUGUACUCUCAUGUAAUAAACCUUACAAUUAAAACCAAAAAUAUAAGUUAAUGAGUUAAAUUCAAUCAAGGUUGUACUGUUACUCUAAAGACAAAUAUCUGCAUUGUAUAAAUAAGUACAUAU